This 649-nucleotide small RNA is filed under the name Pongo abelii (Sumatran orangutan). RNAcentral's name for it is "processed transcript". Lineage: Eukaryota; Metazoa; Chordata; Mammalia; Primates; Hominidae. The record is from RNAcentral.
AGCGGAACCUGACAGCGGUGCCCAGGGGGCCACCCGGACUGUUUGGAACGGAAGCACAGUGUCCGCCGCUUCCUGGUUGCGGGUCAGCGCCGAGGGCCUGGGCUGGCCGCCGGGAUGUUGCCCUACACAGUGAACUUCAAGGUGUCGGCGCGCACCCUCACGGGGGCCCUCAACGCCCACAACAAGGCGGCGGUGGACUGGUGAGGGCGCCGGGCUUCCAGGGGCUGGCAAGGUUUAAUUGCUUAUGGAUGUCAUUCACUUGUGGUAGUGGUUGAUUCCAUUACUGCCCAAACUCUUCAAGUUUUAGAAAAGCAUAAAGCUGAUGUUGUCAAGGUUAAAUGGGCCAGGGAAAACUAUCACCAUAACAUUGGCUCACCAUAUUGCUUGCGCUUAGCUUCUGCUGAUGUCAAUGGGAAGAUCAUCGUCUGGGAUGUAGCAGCAGGAGUAGCUCAGUGUGAGAUCCAAGAGCAUGCCAAGCCUAUCCAGGAUGUUCAGUGGUUGUGGAAUCAAGAUGCUUCCCGCGAUUUACUGCUUGCUAUUCACCCACCAAAUUACAUUGUGCUCUGGAAUGCCGACACUGGCACCAAACUAUGGAAGAAGAGCUACGCAGACAACAUUCUUUCUUUUUCUUUUGACCCUUUUGAUCCCU